AUAAUAAUAAAAAUAAUAAUAGUACAGUAUUUUAACAUCUUUAAAUCUGGUUACCUCAAUCUCUAUCUCCAUUUGAGUGAGUCCUUGGGAAAACAAUUUUGUUUCCACAAUGAUGUCUAACUAGAGAUGCCAACCAAAUCACCAGCUGGUGAAAAACAAAGUGUCUCCAAACGUCGAUAACACAAGCCUGCGCUUUUAUCCAAGAAACUGUUUGGUCACGGCCUAUUGGCAUGAAACAGCACUAGCUGCAGAUUCCAAAAUUCUACUAGCUUCUGUGUCCGGAUCUGGUAGCUCACUUGGGUUCUUUCCAUAUACAUUUGGUUUUGUUACAGGAGCACCAGAAGCCAACAGCAAUCUUAUGACAUUUGCAUGUUCACCUCUCGCUGCAUGGUGAAGAGGCUGCCAAAGUAAAUGAAGUCAAAUGCUUGAGCACAGUUAAUUCCACACUGUAUAGUCAUUUUCACCUCAUGCCAACCCCUUGCCCCAACUGAGGAUAGGGAAAGAAAAAGUGACAUCAUUGGCUAACCACCACAACACCACAGAUACCAGAGGGAUAAAAACAUGGGGAAAAAAAAAUUCAAUGAUAAUCAACCAAACAGGAAUCACCUAAUCUCUUUUGUUGCCUUCAUCCCUUUAACUAAUGUUCUAUAAAAAUCAAAAUAUGCAAUAUUCCCCUCCAUAUAUGGAAAACCCAAAAUAAAACAGCUUUCAACAGUACUCACAGUAUCACCCUCAGCAUCAACUGUUUCUAGCAUCCUUUUGACACACUCUGCACUAUUAGCACUGUUCAACAAAAGUUGGACUAUUUCAGCAAAACCCCCUGCACAAGCAUAAUGCAAAGGUAUUGCCCCAUCUUCAUCCUUUGCCUCCAAGUUUGCUCCCCUUUCCAGAAGUAGCUGGACACAUGGUAAAUAACCAUAGAGACAGACCAGAUGAAGAGCUGUGUCCCCAUCCUCUACAGGUUCAUCAAUGCUUCCGUUCAAGUUAUCUAGAGCUCCGCUAAGGCUGUUGACAUCGCCUACUUGAGCAGCGAAGGCAAGGUCCCGGAGGUGAGGAGGAAUAUCGGAAUCGAGAACAACGAAUCCGUCCUCUUCGAAGAGAGCAUUUUCUUCUUCGUUAUCUUCCUCGUCUAUUAGAGCAUCGCGGUGCACGGCCAUUUUCGCGUCCUGGGUUUUUCUUCCGCACAAUUCAAG
This 1193-nucleotide unclassified non-coding RNA is filed under the name Hevea brasiliensis (rubber tree). Lineage: Eukaryota; Viridiplantae; Streptophyta; Magnoliopsida; Malpighiales; Euphorbiaceae. The record is from RNAcentral.